AUACGUAGGGGGCGAGCGUUGUCCGGAAUGACUGGGCGUAAAGGGCGCGUAGGCGGCCCGGUAAGUCUGGAGUGAAAGUCCUGUUUUUAAGAUGGGAAUUGCUUUGGAUACUGUCGGGCUUGAGUGCAGGAGAGGUAAGUGGAAUUCCCAGUGUAGCGGUGAAAUGCGUAGAGAUUGGGAGGAACACCAGUGGCGAAGGCGACAUACUGGGCCGUAACUGACGCUGAGGCGCGAAAGCGUGGGGAGCGAACAGGAUUAGAUACCCUGGUAGUCCACGCGGUAAACGAUGAAUGCUAGGUGUUGCGGGUAUCGACCCCUGCAGUGCCGGAGUAAACACAAUAAGCAUUCCGCCUGGGGAGUACGGCCGCAAGGUUGAAACUUAAAGGAAUUGACGGGG
RNAcentral lists this ribosomal RNA (397 nucleotides) under uncultured bacterium. RNAcentral's name for it is "partial 16S ribosomal RNA". It matches the Rfam family "Bacterial small subunit ribosomal RNA", at positions 523 to 918 of the family's 1533-position model. The record is from RNAcentral.